GUCUACUGAAUACACAUUACACUUUUCAGGAUAGCCUAGAUGGCAAGUGGAUUGCAGAGCUGGGACAUAUGUGGUUGACUUGGAAGAAAGGACUUGUGCAUAUGGGAGGUGGGAAUUGAUAGGGAUUCCUUGUAGUCUUGUUGUUGCUGUUAUAAAGGAGUGUAGAAAUAAACAUGUGGACCAUGUGGACAACUUCUAUAGAGUUGAUACAUAUUUGAUGUGCUAUGAUCACAUUAUAAAUCCGAUUAAUAGAAAAAAUUUGUGGUCCCAAUUGGACGAUUUUUCCAUUACCUUCAUGGUCUAUUCCACAACAGGGAAGAAAGUAAUAGAAAAGAAAGAAGCAAGUGGAGGAAGAUGUGAUAAAACACUCAAAAGGAAAAUCUAUUAUUAAAGGAAAAGGAAGGGUUUCAAUGACAUGCUCACUAUGUGGACUAUACAAUUGCAAUAAAAGAUAUCAUGCAUGCCAAAUGCACCUUUCCCAGUGAGUACUUAUUUGAAUGCUAUUUAAAUGUUGUUUUUAAUCUAAUAAGUGACUAAAUAAAUCUAAUCUUUGGAGGCAGUAGAGUCUAGAAAGUCACUUGAUAUGGACAGCAUAAGUGACUAAAUAAAUCUAAUCUUUGGAGGCAGUAGAGUCUAGAAAGUCACUUGAUAUGGACAGCAUGAGACAUGUUAAGUGCUUCCAUUCUCAAUUUAUUGUAUUUGCGUAUAAAUCUAAUUGUUUAGGAUAUCGUAUUUCCAUUAACUUUAGAGAUGGUGAUCUUUCUUCUAGCCGAGCACAAUGAUAACAACAAACUAUCCAUUUCAUGCCUACUCCUGGGAUCAUGAUGCAAUCCGACACUAGAUGUAUAAAUCAUGGGCCAUCAAUUUCAAUGCCUAUAGCUGAG
This 884-nucleotide long non-coding RNA is filed under the name Olea europaea subsp. europaea. Lineage: Eukaryota; Viridiplantae; Streptophyta; Magnoliopsida; Lamiales; Oleaceae. The record is from RNAcentral.